Molecule: long non-coding RNA, 200 nt
Filed under: Lathyrus oleraceus (garden pea)
Lineage: Eukaryota; Viridiplantae; Streptophyta; Magnoliopsida; Fabales; Fabaceae
Description: Pisum sativum (pea) long non-coding RNA (PSAT_LNC000664)
Source: RNAcentral
AUUGGUACUGGAAAAUGUAAUAUCAAUUGGGAUAUUUUAUAUUACUACUUGAUAUUAUAUAUUAUUUAUAUAUAUUAUAUAGUAUUUUGUGUGGUGGAAAAAAAAAAGAAAAAAAGGAUAAGAAGUAGUAGGAAGAGAUAAGAAUGGAAGAGAGAGUUAUCAGAAAGGGAAAAGAAGAGAAAGAGAAAGAAAGAGGAAUA